UUUGUUACUUCAAACCAAUCGGACUUCGGUCUGACAUCAAGUGAUAUUGAACAAUUUAGCUGAUCGCACGGUCUAAGAACCGGCGACAUAUCCUUCAAAUGUCUGCCUUAUCAACUCUCGAUGGUAGAUUAUGCGCCUACCAUGGUUGUAACGGGUAACGGAGAAUCAGGGUUUGAUUCCGGAGAGGGAGCCUGAGAAACGGCUACCACAUCCAAGGAAGGCAGCAGGCACGCAAAUUACCCACUCCCGGCACGGGGAGGUAGUGACGAAAAAUAACAAGCUGGUCUCAAUGAGUUCCAGCAUUGUAAUGGGAACAAUUUAAAUCUUUUAUCGAGGAUCUAUUGGAGGGCAAGUCUGGUGCCAGCAGCCGCGGUAAUUCCAGCUCCAAUAGCGUAUAUUAAAGUUGUUGCGGUUAAAAAGCUCGUAGUUGGAUCUAGGAUUAGGGCUACGGUCGUUCAGCUUGGACGUACUGUAUGCCCGACUCCUUUUCUCUAGUAUUCGAUUGUUGCUCUUAAAUGAGUGACUUUAGUUGCUGGAACUUUUACCUUGAAAAAAUUGAAGUGCUCAAAGCAGGUU
RNAcentral lists this ribosomal RNA (576 nucleotides) under uncultured eukaryote. Its description in RNAcentral is "SSU rRNA". It matches the Rfam family "Eukaryotic small subunit ribosomal RNA", at positions 203 to 786 of the family's 1831-position model. The record is from RNAcentral.